CAGUCAGGACUCAGCAUGGACAUGAGGGCCCCUGUUCGGCUCCUUGGACUCUUGUUGCUCUGGUUUCCAGGUGCCACAUGUGACAUCCAGAUGACCCAGUCUCCAGCCUCCCUGUCUGCCUCUCUGGGAGACAGAGUCACCAUUACUUGUAAGGCCAGUCAGGACAUUAGUAAUUCUUUAAGUUGGUAUCAGCAGAAACCAGGGAAAGCUCCUAAGCUCCUGAUGUUUUAUACAAACAAGUUGGCAGAUGGGAUCCCAUCGCGGUUCAGUGGCAGUGGGUCUGGGACAGAUUAUUCUCUCACCAUCAGCAGCCUGGAGGCUGAAGAUGCUGGCAUUUAUUACUGUCAGCAGUAUGAUGAGUAUCCUCUCACAGUGAUACAAGUCAUAACAUAA
This is a non-coding RNA of Phodopus roborovskii (desert hamster), 393 nucleotides long. The record is from the annotation of a RefSeq genome assembly. NCBI's taxonomy places the organism in Eukaryota, Metazoa, Chordata, Mammalia, Rodentia, Cricetidae.